UACGUAGGGUGCAAGCGUUAUCCGGAGUUAUUGGGCGUAAAGCGUUACGUCGGCGGAUCAGUAAGUGAUAUGUCUAAGCCUGGGGCUUAACCCCAGAAAGGCCUGUCAUACUGCUGAUCUUGAGGAUGUUAGAGGGAACUGGAACUCUCGGUGGAGGGGUGAAAUCCGUAGAUAUCGAGAGGAACGCCAAGGGUGAAGACAGGUUCCUGGGGCAUUCCUGACGCUCAUGUACGACAGCUUGGGUAGCAAAGCGG
Molecule: unclassified non-coding RNA, 254 nt
Filed under: uncultured Patescibacteria group bacterium
Lineage: Bacteria
Description: contains 16S-23S intergenic spacer region
Rfam family: Bacterial small subunit ribosomal RNA
Source: RNAcentral